CAGUCGCCGCGGUAAUACGUAGGUGGCAAGCGUUGUCCGGAAUUAUUGGGCGUAAAGCGCACGCAGGUGGUUUAAUAAGUCUGAUGUGAAAGCCCACGGCUCAACCGUGGAGGGUCAUUGGAAACUGUUAAACUUGAGUGCAGGAGAGAGAAGUGGAAUUCCUAGUGUAGCGGUGAAAUGCGUAGGGAUUAGGAGGAACACCAGUGGCGAAGGCGGCUUUUUGGCCUGUAACUGACACUGAGGCGCGAAAGCGUGGGGAGCAAACAGGAUUAGAUACCCCAGUAGUCCCUGUCUCUUAUAC
This 301-nucleotide ribosomal RNA is filed under the name uncultured bacterium. RNAcentral describes it as "partial 16S ribosomal RNA". It matches the Rfam family "Bacterial small subunit ribosomal RNA", at positions 509 to 807 of the family's 1533-position model. The record is from RNAcentral.